Molecule: ribosomal RNA, 728 nt
Filed under: uncultured Acidobacteriota bacterium
Lineage: Bacteria; Pseudomonadati; Acidobacteriota
Description: bacterial SSU rRNA
Rfam family: Bacterial small subunit ribosomal RNA
Source: RNAcentral
UGGCGGCGUGCCUAACACAUGCAAGUCGCACGAGAAAGGGUAGCAAUACCUGAGUACAGUGGCGCACGGGUGAGUAACACGUGAAUCAUCUACCUCCGAGUGGGGAAUAACCUAGAGAAAUCUGGGCUAAUACCGCAUAACACUUAGUCAAAGCAGCAAUGCGCUUGGAGAGGAGUUCGCGGCCGAUUAGUUAGUUGGCGGGGUAAUGGCCCACCAAGACGAUGAUCGGUAUCCGGCCUGAGAGGGCGCACGGACACACUGGAACUGAAACACGGUCCAGACUCCUACGGGAGGCAGCAGUGGGGAAUUUUGCGCAAUGGGGGAAACCCUGACGCAGCAACGCCGCGUGGAGGAUGAAAUCCCUUGGGAUGUAAACUCCUUUCGAUCGGGACGAUUAUGACGGUACCGGAAGAAGAAGCCCCGGCUAACUUCGUGCCAGCAGCCGCGGUAAUACGAGGGGGGCAAGCGUUGUUCGGAAUUAUUGGGCGUAAAGGGCGCGUAGGCGGUCUGACAAGUCUGAUGUGAAAUCUCUGGGCUCAACCCAGAGUCUGCAUUAGAAACUGUCGGGCUUGAGUAUGGGAGAGGUGAGUGGAAUUCCGGUGUAGCGGUGAAAUGCGUAGAUAUCGGAGGGAACACCUGUGGCGAAAGCGGCUCACUGGACCAUACUGACGCUGAGGCGCAGAAGCUAGGGGAGCAAACGGGAUUAAAUACCCUGGUAUCCUACCCUU